GUGGGCGUAGUUCAAUGGUAGAGCGCUAGUUUGUGGUGCUGGUUGUUGCGGGUUCGAGCCCCGUCGCCCACCCCA
RNAcentral lists this transfer RNA (75 nucleotides) under Sulfurovum sp. RNAcentral's name for it is "tRNA-His". It matches the Rfam family "tRNA". Rfam says of the family: Transfer RNA (tRNA) molecules are approximately 80 nucleotides in length. Their secondary structure includes four short double-helical elements and three loops (D, anti-codon, and T loops). Further hydrogen bonds mediate the characteristic L-shaped molecular structure. tRNAs have two regions of fundamental functional importance: the anti-codon, which is responsible for specific mRNA codon recognition, and the 3' end, to which the tRNAs corresponding amino acid is attached (by aminoacyl-tRNA synthetases). tRNAs cope with the degeneracy of the genetic code in two manners: having more than one tRNA (with a specific anti-codon) for a particular amino acid; and 'wobble' base-pairing, i.e. permitting non-standard base-pairing at the 3rd anti-codon position. RNAcentral also lists the same sequence under 5 other names. Lineage: Bacteria; Pseudomonadati; Campylobacterota; Epsilonproteobacteria; Campylobacterales; Sulfurovaceae. The record is from RNAcentral.